This is a non-coding RNA of Gossypium raimondii (Peruvian cotton), 107 nucleotides long. NCBI's taxonomy places the organism in Eukaryota, Viridiplantae, Streptophyta, Magnoliopsida, Malvales, Malvaceae. The record is from Rfam.
AUUCCAUAAUGAGGGCACUUUCAAAAUAACUCUUUUUACCCUUCCCAUGCCUCAUACAGGGACACACCAUCCAUUUGUUGGAAGGCAAUGAUCUCAUUCCUCAACUU